This 317-nucleotide long non-coding RNA is filed under the name Zostera marina. Its description in RNAcentral is "long non-coding RNA (ZMAR_LNC001429)". Lineage: Eukaryota; Viridiplantae; Streptophyta; Magnoliopsida; Alismatales; Zosteraceae. The record is from RNAcentral.
UACUGUCUACAUAAAUAAAUCUCAAAAGAUCAACAUAACUGCAAGAUCGAUCUUCAGAAAUUACAAAUGGUAGCUUCAUCAAUCAAUUGUUGCCUCAAAGCACCGGCGAAUUUCCGGGAAAUUCCUGCAACCAUCAUCAACAAAACGUCUCAUUCAUCAUGGUAAAACCGAAACUUAACUGAAUUGGUCAAUAUUGAUUGAAAUUUCACCUACCCUUCCCGGCGAGCUCCCACUGAUUCUUCUACUUCUAGGUCAAUGGUCAAAGCCAAGGCCAAGGAUGAUGGAAACUGGACUCGUCGGAGUUUGACUACCGCAGC